Molecule: small RNA, 27 nt
Filed under: Bombyx mori (domestic silkworm)
Lineage: Eukaryota; Metazoa; Arthropoda; Insecta; Lepidoptera; Bombycidae
Description: ovarian small RNA-30392
Source: RNAcentral
UGAAACAGAACCAAGCGGGGGGGCAGC